GUUAUUUAUCUGAUGGUCUGAAGUCAAGACCUAGGUCGGAGGUCGUCUAUAAUUACCCUUUUUUGUUUUCUUCUUCCUUUGACAUGGAUCGCGCUGUAGCAUAGGUUACUUCCCCCAGCUUUACAGAGAGUGAACAUAACUCAAUCCCACACAAACAAGUUCUCAUUAAAAUUGAUUCAUUAUACAUUUUCCCAAAGGAAUGUACUUUUGGAGAAGUGAUGCUGCUCUUGGAAAUCUCGAGGUUGCCUUGUCCUGAGUAAAUUGGUCACAUGAGAUACAGAAGACAGAAGGACUCCUCUCACCCUGUACAGAGGCUGCAGUAGGAGAUCUAAAACCUCUACUAUCCCUGUGGGAAUAUGUGCAACCAUCCACCUCUCCAGGACGAAGGAUGUCAGAACUGAUACAAAGUCUGGAACAAUGCCAACCCCAGAGAGAGGCUGCCUAGAAUGUCUUUUACCUUGUUGUUUUUUAUUAUCACGAGACACAAACAAACAAACUGUUAUCAGAGAUGUUUGUUUGGAUGAAAGGGAGAAACCCCUAGAGGGCUUUCCUUCUGACCAGGUUCUUCUCUACACUAUGAGCUGAUUGACCC
RNAcentral lists this long non-coding RNA (592 nucleotides) under Salmo salar (Atlantic salmon). RNAcentral describes it as "lncRNA (ENSSSAG00000083057.1, ENSSSAG00020017833.1)". The record is from RNAcentral. Lineage: Eukaryota; Metazoa; Chordata; Actinopteri; Salmoniformes; Salmonidae.